AGAGUUUGAUCCUGGCUCAGAUUGAACGCUGGCGGCAGGCCUAACACAUGCAAGUCGAGCGGAUGAGUGGAGCUUGCUCCAUGAUUCAGCGGCGGACGGGUGAGUAAUGCCUAGGAAUCUGCCUGGUAGUGGGGGACAACGUUUCGAAAGGAACGCUAAUACCGCAUACGUCCUACGGGAGAAAGCAGGGGACCUUCGGGCCUUGCGCUAUCAGAUGAGCCUAGGUCGGAUUAGCUAGUUGGUGAGGUAAAGGCUCACCAAGGCGACGAUCCGUAACUGGUCUGAGAGGAUGAUCAGUCACACUGGAACUGAGACACGGUCCAGACUCCUACGGGAGGCAGCAGUGGGGAAUAUUGGACAAUGGGCGAAAGCCUGAUCCAGCCAUGCCGCGUGUGUGAAGAAGGUCUUCGGAUUGUAAAGCACUUUAAGUUGGGAGGAAGGGCAGUAAGUUAAUACCUUGCUGUUUUGACGUUACCGGCAGAAUAAGCACCGGCUAACUUCGUGCCAGCAGCCGCGGUAAUACGAAGGGUGCAAGCGUUAAUCGGAAUUACUGGGCGUAAAGCGCGCGUAUGUGGUUCGUUAAGUUGGAUGUGAAAGCCCCGGGCUCAACCUGGGAACUGCAUCCAAAACUGGCGAGCUAGAGUAUGGCAGAGGGUGGGUGGAACUC
Molecule: ribosomal RNA, 667 nt
Filed under: bacterium enrichment culture clone 122
Lineage: Bacteria
Description: bacterial SSU rRNA
Rfam family: Bacterial small subunit ribosomal RNA
Source: RNAcentral